This is a regulatory RNA element of 131 nucleotides. It matches the Rfam family "PyrR binding site". Rfam says of the family: This family represents the PyrR binding site and terminator structure. This RNA structure is found upstream of a variety of genes involved in pyrimidine biosynthesis and transport. The record is from Rfam.
UACCCUUUUAAAUGGUAGUCCCGUGAGGCUGCAAAAGGGGGGUCACUAUACAAGGAAAACUAUACUGCGGUAUAGCGUUCUUCCUUGUAUGCUGAAAACCUCUUUGCCUCUGCGUAAAGAGGUUUUUUAAU